GAUGAACGCUGGCGGUAUGCUUAACACAUGCAAGUCGAACGGUACCUUCGGGUAUAGUGGCGGACGGGUGAGUAACGCGUGAGAAUCUGUCUUCAGGUCGGGGACAACAGUUAGAAAUGACUGCUAAUACCGGAUGUGCCGAAAGGUAAAAGAUUUAUUGCCUGAAGUUGAGCUCGCGACAGAUUAGCUAGUAGGUGGUGUAAGAGACUACCUAGGCGACGAUCUGUAGCUGGCCUGAGAGGACGAUCAGCCACACCGGAACUGAGACACGGUCCAGACUCCUACGGGAGGCAGCAGUGGGGAAUUUUCCGCAAUGGGCGAAAGCCUGACGGAGCAAUACCCGCGUGAGGGACGAAGGCUUUUUGGGGUCGUAAACCUCUUUUAUUAGGGAAGAUUUCAGGACGGUACCUAAUGAAUAAGCAUCGGCUGACUCUGUGCCAGCAGGCGGUAAU
This 452-nucleotide ribosomal RNA is filed under the name uncultured bacterium. Its description in RNAcentral is "bacterial SSU rRNA". It matches the Rfam family "Bacterial small subunit ribosomal RNA", at positions 28 to 524 of the family's 1533-position model. The record is from RNAcentral.